Molecule: unclassified non-coding RNA, 181 nt
Filed under: uncultured Ascomycota
Lineage: Eukaryota; Fungi; Ascomycota
Description: sequence contains ITS1
Source: RNAcentral
CAGAGUUGCAAAACUCCCCUAAACCAUUGUGAACCUACCACUAAACAGUUGCUUCGGCGGGUCGGGCCCCCACCUCCCUCACCGGGGAGGGGAGGGCCCCUAAGACCGCCCGCCGGAGGUUAACCAAAACUCUUGUUCAACUAAAAGGCCUCUCUGAGUUAACUGUACUUAAAAUAAGUCA